Lonchura striata (white-rumped munia) is the source of this 321-nucleotide non-coding RNA. Lineage: Eukaryota; Metazoa; Chordata; Aves; Passeriformes; Estrildidae. The record is from RefSeq and is a predicted model, not a curated record.
GUCAUAUCCAGUUAACAGAGAAGAAGGGAAAGAUCUUUCUUCAGCUCACUCCUAUUUACCUUUUCCUUAAUCAGUUCAUCACUCCCUGGAAAACCCAGAAGACUGUUUAAGACAUCUGAGCUGUAACCAUGCUAAACCAUUGACUACAAAGGAGACACACAGACCUAAAAGAAGCUGGGGUAUUUCUACUUCUUUUCCUGCCCAGUGAAGUCUGAAGGACUGCUGUGCUGAAGAAAAUGUGUGUCACCCCUGCAGUGCUGGAUGACUGGAGCAUGCACUUGACCUAAUUUUCUGAUAUGAGUGGUUAAAAUAAAUUCUAAG